RNAcentral lists this ribosomal RNA (101 nucleotides) under uncultured bacterium. RNAcentral's name for it is "partial 16S ribosomal RNA". It matches the Rfam family "Bacterial small subunit ribosomal RNA", at positions 1384 to 1482 of the family's 1533-position model. The record is from RNAcentral.
UACACACCGCCCGUCACAUCAUGGGAGUUGGUUUUGCCCGAAGUCGCUGACCCGACCCGCAAGGGAGGGAGGUGCCUAAGGUAAGGCCGAUGACUGGGAUG